RNAcentral lists this unclassified non-coding RNA (336 nucleotides) under uncultured Geastrum. RNAcentral's name for it is "sequence contains ITS1". The stretch from base 1 to 106 matches the Rfam family "5.8S ribosomal RNA", at positions 50 to 154 of the family's 154-position model. The record is from RNAcentral. Lineage: Eukaryota; Fungi; Basidiomycota; Agaricomycetes; Geastrales; Geastraceae.
GAACGUGCGAAACGUAAUGUGAAUUGCAGAAUUCAGUGAAUCAUCGAAUCUUUGAACGCAUCUUGCGCUCCUUGGUAUUCCGAGGAGCAUGCCUGUUUGAGUGUCGUGAAUACUCUCAAUUUCAAUCUUUUUGUUUGAAAUUGGAUUUGGAUGUUGUUGUUGAUCUAUUAACGACUCAUCCUAAAUACAUUAGCGAUCUGGCUUGAUCACACACAAUGUGAUAAAUUAUUUCAUCAUUGUUACACUCAAGUCAUGACUGCUUCUAACCGUCGAAAGACACCGCAUAUAUGCAUGUCAUUUGACCUCAAAUCAGGUAGGACUACCCGCUGAACUUAA